This 1883-nucleotide long non-coding RNA is filed under the name Chinchilla lanigera (long-tailed chinchilla). Its description in RNAcentral is "lncRNA (ENSCLAG00000026883.1)". Lineage: Eukaryota; Metazoa; Chordata; Mammalia; Rodentia; Chinchillidae. The record is from RNAcentral.
AUGGCCAAUUCAUCUUCCCCAAGUGCAGGUUACAGUGAGGGGGAGGCAAAGUUUUCCAGUGGGGCUGGAGCCUCGUCUGUGAGAAUCAUCACAGCCUCUGCAGCAGGUCCUGCCAGGGCCAAGGCCAGGGCCAACACUUCCCAUAAAGGUGCCAUUUCAUCCUCAGAGACUCUGUGCUCUCAAUCCGCUCAGCACCCCACUGUUCAGAGUUGUAAACUGAGGCUGAGAGAGGUGCUUGGACAUUGCCUGGGCUUGAAUCCAGAGGUGGCCAAGUCCCACUGUACUGCUGAGAGAGGAGCUCACCUUCCCACCAUCAGGGCCUGUGGGGUGGAGGUGUCGGCCCUUGAGGAGUCCAGGAAGAAGGGGCCGCUGUCCAGGAAGGCCGGCUCCAGGGGCUCCGUCGGGGUGUGUGGCGGCCCUGCCUGCACCGUGCUCACUGUGCAGAUCUCUGCCAGGUUCUCUGCCAACUGAUUUCCAAUCUGUGAUGCAAAGGGCAGACAUGGAAUUGGUGUCCCAGCCAGGGCUUCUCAGGAAGGUGUGGGGCUGAAGCAAAGCCCACACUCCAAGUGGUCCACAGAGGCUUGUGCCAGAGGGGCACAGGAGGACACCAGUGUAAAAGGGAUUCUCAUACUAAAAGUUAAAUUUCACAAGGAACACUUAGGAAUACUAGCUUGUUCAGACCACCCUGUUCACUGUGGAGAGGUUUAUAUAACUCCAUGCAUGAAGAGCACUAACCCAUGAGUCCUGAGAGAGCCUCAUGAGGUGAAAUCAGUCUUGUCCCAGGUGGCUGGGUCCCUUGAUAAGGCCACACAGAAUGUUUCUGGGCUUCUGAUGAAAUGGGCCUGGGGAGGAGUCAGGUCUCGCUUCUUUAGCCAUGUGAGGCUCAAUAGCUGUGUUCUCUGGGAUGUCAUUUAAUCCAGGGUUGCCAGACAUCUGACCAGAACCUUGUGGACUCCUGGGGCCUGGAGUGAAAAUGAUGUGAAAUGACAGACUUGAAUCAUGACAGGAAAUGCAGUGACACUGUCCAUGUCCUUGUUCUGAUGCUCCCAGCACCAUGUGGGAAUGACCCUGCACCUGCCCAGGGUAAAGGCUGAGAUGAGGGGAGAUGGUGGUUGAGGACCUGGAGUCCAGAUUCCUUGGGAGCAAGACCAUAGGUGCACUGCUUACCAAGCCCUGGAGGGAGAUGGUGAAGGUGUAAUCUGACCCCAAAGGUCCUCUCCAUCCUCCCUGGGCCUCAAUACAGAGUCCUCUCCACUCACACACACACCCUGCGCUUGAGCUGACACCUGUUGUUACCGUGAUCCCAGGGUCUGCUGCAGGGACAUGGCACACAAGCUCCCAGCAGCCUGUGCCACACCAGUGUCCUGUGUGCCGCUCUGUUGGCACAGUGCCUGGCAGCUGGCAGGAAGCAUGAGGCUCUCCCUGACCACAGUUUUUUGCUGUUUUGUCCCAGAUAACCAUGUGCUCCCCAUAAACAAACAGCUCUGUCCCAGACUUCUAACGCAGGAGGACAGGAGAUGACUCUGGAAGCUGUGGAUUAACACUGGCCACUGCCUUUCUCCUCCUGCUAGCCCUGUUCCGGGUAAGAAUGUGACAGGAGCCCAGGCUCACAACCUUCAGCACCCACUUCUGCUCAGGGGAAUUUUCCUCAAGACCUUGUCCCUCCUGCCUCACCCACCACACCUACACUGAGGACAAAGGUGGGAGUCGUGCAGGGGACUCACAGUGGUGGCCAGGCCUAAAUGGACCUGUCCUGGACACGACGGUUCAGAGUGGCUGGUGGCCGAGCCUAGGGACACCUGUCCUGGGCUCCCUCUUGUCUCUGAGCGCCUGGGGGCCGCAGCUGCCGAGCCCUGCCCUGUGCUGCCCAUGACAGUUGGGCG